RNAcentral lists this ribosomal RNA (497 nucleotides) under uncultured bacterium. RNAcentral describes it as "bacterial SSU rRNA". It matches the Rfam family "Bacterial small subunit ribosomal RNA", at positions 37 to 518 of the family's 1533-position model. The record is from RNAcentral.
UAGCGACAGGCUAACACAUGCAAGUCGAGGGCGAGCACGGGAGUAGCAAUACAACGUGGUGGCGACCGGCGCACGGGUGAGUAACGCGUAUGCAACCUACCUAUCAGAGGGGAAGUAACCCGGCGAAAGUCGGACGUAAUACCGCAGUAAAAACAGGGGCACCGCAUGGUGAUAUUUGUUAAAGAAAUUCGCUGAUAGAUGGGCAUGCGUUCCAUUAGGUAGUUGGUGAGGUAACGGCUCACCAAGCCGACGAUGGAUAGGGGAACUGAGAGGUUGGUCCCCCACACUGGUACUGAGACACGGACCAGACUCCUACGGGAGGCAGCAGUGAGGAAUAUUGGUCAAUGGACGAGAGUCUGAACCAGCCAAGUCGCGUGCAGGAAGAAUGUCCUAUUAGGGAUUGUAAACUGCUUUUGCAGGGGAAUAAAGUGCAUCACGUGUGAUGUUUUGUAUGUACUCUGCGAAUAAGGAUCGGCUAACUCCGUGCCAGCAGCAGC